UUGGUGAUAAUAAUAUAAAAGUGCGAGUAAAAACUGGUAAAAACAACACUUUCCUUGAAAAUUUCGGUGACUGCCGAGAUAAUAAGAGCGAAAAUCGAAGCAAUAAAGGAUCAGCUUCUCACUUCUGAUUUUUGGUCGAAAUAACGUUUGAAGCAAAUCAUCAGGAGUGACAAAUGAGCGAACUAAAGAAUUGUUCGGUGAAGGGUCAACGACCGUUUAUAUUCCAAACGAAGGAAGAAUAUGCCAUUCUCAGAGAAGAUUGGAGUUUGGCAUUCAUUACCGUCCUGUUGUUGUUGAAUGUUGGCAGACACGAAAGAAACAACACCAACAAAUUUCGUAAAGGUUACACAAUUCACACUGUCGUCUCGAAGUUUUACGAACUCUGAAGUGCAGGCAAUUACAACUCAUACCGGGCAUUACAACUUGUGUUGGAUAAUCUACAUGGCUGACAUUGGCUGACGCGGUUCAUUGUGAAGGGCAGUGUGACUCGCCGUGCACAAUCUUUUGAAAAUGUUUGCUGGCAAUAAAAUUUGGCUUCCGCCACCCCAGGACAGUGCUACGAACUGCUCAGACUUUGGUUCAUUUUUGGUGUCCGUCAACUCAGUGCUACGAACUGCUUCGACUUUGUCACAUUAACGACAUUGAUGACGUUGUCAAUUUCGCAAAAUCACGUAACAAGUCCCUAUGCACUAAGACGGAUCAGUUUUUGCGUGUCCGGGAGACGAUCUUUAUCCAACCGAUCCAUGAUAUUCGCACACUGUUCAUGAUCCACGCAUUAACAAGGAAAAAUCAUGCGAAGAGAUCACUGCUUUGGCAACGAAAUUGCAUCGGUAUGACAGUGGGGUUUUUUCGUAUCAAAUGAAUAUAGAACCGUUCAACGGACACCUGAGCCAAUUUAACAAAUUCAGAACUCACAAACAAAACUUGAAGCUUAGAGAGUCUAAUAAAAUCACUCGAAUGAAUGUCACAUCGAGCA
Molecule: long non-coding RNA, 976 nt
Organism: Bradysia coprophila
Lineage: Eukaryota; Metazoa; Arthropoda; Insecta; Diptera; Sciaridae
Source: RefSeq, a predicted model, not a curated record